This 15989-nucleotide long non-coding RNA is filed under the name Nicotiana tabacum (common tobacco). RNAcentral's name for it is "long non-coding RNA (NTAB_LNC003869)". The record is from RNAcentral. Lineage: Eukaryota; Viridiplantae; Streptophyta; Magnoliopsida; Solanales; Solanaceae.
AAAAGAUACCACUUCCUCAUGAAUUUAUCUUGAAUCGAGAUCUUUUGGCUCAACUUUAUCCCAGUUUUGCCGAGGGAGAAACCCCAUUUUUCACCUUGAAUUGGUCAAAAUAUGCGAACUUUCUUACUUUUCGUGGAGGAUUAGAUCCAGUAACUGGGGGUCUGUGGCUGACUGAUAUUGCCCAUCACCAUUUAGCUAUUGCAAUUCUUUUCCUGAUAGCGGGUCACAUGUAUAGGACCAACUGGGGUAUUGGUCAUGGACUAAAAGAUAUUUUAGAAGCUCAUAAAGGUCCAUUUACAGGUCAGGGCCAUAAAGGCCUAUAUGAGAUCCUAACAACGUCAUGACAUGCUCAAUUAUCUCUUAACUUAGCUAUGUUAGGCUCUUUAACCAACGUCUAGGCUUUCAUAGUUUUGGUUUGUAUAUUCAUAAUGAUACCAUGAGCGCUUUAGGGCAUCCUCAAGAUAUGUUUUCAGAUACCACUAUACAAUUACAACCCGUUUUUGCUCAGUGGAUACAAAACAACCAUGAUUUAGCACCUGGUGCAACAGCAAGUACCAGUUUAACUUGGGGGUGGUAAAUUAGUGGAAGUGGGUGGCAAGGUGGCUUUGUUGCCUAUUCCAUUAGAAACCGCGAAUUUCUUGGUACAUCACGUUCAUGCAUUUACGAUUCAUGUGACGGUAUUGAUACUCUUGAAAGGUGUUCUAUUUGCUCGCAGUUCCCGUUUGAUACCGGAUAAAGCAAAUCUUGGUUUUCGUUUUCCUUGUGAUGGACCUGGAAGAGGGGUACAUGUCAAGUAUCGGCCUGGGAUCAUGUCUUCUUAGGACUAUUCUGGAUGUACAAUGUAAUUUUGGUAGUAAUAUUCUAUUUCAGUUGGAAAAUGCAGUCAGAUGUUUUGGGAAGUGUAAGUGAUCAAGGGGUAGUAACUCAUAUCACGGGAGGAAACUUUGCGCAAAGUUCUAUUACUAUUAAUGGGUGGCUCCGCGAUUUCUUAUGGGCACAGGCAUCCCAGGUAAUUCAGUCUAGUGAAGCCUUCGCGUUUGCGAGACCUUAUUUGCAUUCGCGUAGACUACCCCCUAGCCUUUGCGUUCACGAGACAUCGCUCGCGUUCGUGAUGAAGAAAAGACUGACUCCCCCCAGUGCCUAACACUACGUGUUCGCGAUGAGCUUGUCGCGUUCGCGAAGGGUAACACCCCCAUCGCUUCGCAUUUGCGACCAAGCUUUCGUGUUCGCGAAGAAGAAAAUUUUGGCCUCAUCAGUUUACUCUUCGCGUUCGCGGGAGUACCUUCACGAACACGAAGAAGGACAUGCCAAAACACCCGCUGCAGCAAAAUACCAAAUUUUUCCAAGUCCAAAAUAUCCGGUGGCCUAUCCGAAACUCACCCGAGCCCUCGGGGCUCCAAACCAAACAUGCACACAAGUCUAAAAAUAUCAUACAAACUUGAUCGCGUGAUCAAAUCGCCAAAAUAACACCUAGAACUACGAAUUUAGCACCAAAUCAAAUGAAAUUUUCAAGAACACUUUAAAAUUUCUAGCUUCUCAACUGGACGUCCGGAUCACGUCAAAUCAACUCCGUUUCUCACCAAAUUUUACAGACAAGUCUUAAAUAUUAUAUUGGACCUAUACCGAGNNNNNNNNNNNNNNNNNNNNNNNNNCCGGGCAUACUCCCAGGUCCCAUAAUUCGAUACGUACCCACCGGGACCAUCACAAUAUGGAUUCGGGUCCGUUUACCAAAAAUAUUGACCGAAGUCAACUAAAAUCAACUUUUAAGGCAAAAAUUCCUAUUUUCAUCAAUUUUCAACAUAAAAGUUUUUCGAAAACAUGUCCGGACUGCGCACGCAAAUUGAGGAGGAUAAAAAUGAGAUUUUAAGGCUUAAGAGUGCAAAUUCGAGUUCUAAAACAUAAGAUGACUUUUUGGGUCAUCACAAAAAUUUUACUUAAACAUUCUUUUCCUUUUCGUUUCAUAAUUUCUCGAACUCCUAAUUUGCAUCUUUGUUUUCUAUUCUUCCUCUAAUUCUAUUCAAACAUAAAACCUUUUCCAUCUUCCUUUUCAAUGGCUUCUUCCUCUAAGCGUGCUGGUUCUACGAAGAACAAAAACAAAAUUGAGGACUUUGUUCCUCCAACGGUGGGUUCCAUCAUCCCAAGAAGACUUAGUAUUUCGAAGGAUUUUGAAGAGAAAUUUCCUACUGCUAAUCCUCAUACAUGGACUGUUAGUAGGUACCCUUCUGAUAACAAACACGAUAGGGAAUUCAUGAAUUACUAAAGAAAAACAAGGAAAUCAAGAAACGUGCGAAAGCUAAAAGAAAAUAGGGAAACGAAAAAAAUAAAAAUUAAAGAUAGAUUGAAUUCAAGAAAGAGUUUCUUGAAUUCAAGAAGUCUAUUCUUGAACUUGAAUCAUAGCAAAAAUAAUUAGCUAACGAAGAACUAAUCGUCUUUGGUAGAGAAUUAAAAACAAGAGAUAGAUUGUGAAACCCGACCCUUUAGAAUAACAAGAACAACAAUAAGCCUAAACUUAUAACCUUUCUUGAAUAUCUAUAAGUGAUCUAAGAUUUCGAAAAGGUUUUAAUCUUACCACCUUAAGUUAAUUUUUGAAGGUUGAAGAAUAAAUCCAAGAGUAGCCACACAUAAGAGUGCAAGAAAAAUCUCACAAUUUUUGUUGAUAUUGUCAAUCAUAAUCUUUUUUCCUAAAAACAAAGAAGACACCCUUUAUAUAGAGAGGGAGUCACGAAAUUCUACCAAAAAAACAAAGAAAGAAAGUCCUAACUACUUUGGACAAAAGUCCAACUACCUUAGGAUAGGAUCUUGAAAGUCCAAAACCAAUCUUGAAAAUCUUAGAAAUCUUAGAAAAGAAAGAAAAUCCUAACUACUUUGGACAAAAAGUCCAAGUACCUUAGGAUAGAAUCUUGAAAGUCCAAAAUCAAUCUUGAAAAUCUUAGAAAUCUUGAAAAAGAAACAAAGUCCUAACUACUUUGGACAAAAAGUCCAACUACCUUAGGAUAGGAUCUUGAAAGUUCAAAAACAUUCUUGGAGAAUCUUUGAAAUCUUGAAAAUCUUGGAGGACAUUUGCAAGCAACUUGGCACCAACUUGUACUCAACUUCUAGCACGACUAUUUUACCCUUCUUUGACAUUAAGUAAGUCCUUUUUAUGUUAUAAAAAUGUGACUUCAUGUAAAACUUAUUGGGCUGCAAGUUUGGACAUAUUUUAGGUGCCAAAAUGGUCCAAAAGUUGACUUAUUAGGAUCUUCUUCAAAGGAUGUCUCUUGAGAUCCAAUACUCCUAUUCUUGGAUAUAAAUUUGGGCUAUAAAACAAUUGUAACACCUAGCCAAUUCACAUACUUAAUCCUUGAGCCCUUUCUCCCAAUUAACAACUUUAUUAUUUGCACUUAAAGUCUAAUGACCUUAUUUUUAUAACUCUUUAGCUUGACAUCUUUUUAAAGGCCCUCUUUGAGAUUCCAAAGCUUCAUCCUUGUCUUUGAAUAGAUUUGAGCUUCUUAGGAUGCUAUCACCUUCUUUCAUUCAUCCUUCCAGUAUUCCUAUUGUGAAGGAGAAUUGUCGCUACCAUGAGUUAGAUAUUAUUAUUCCUUAUCUAUCGGAGCGAGUGACCCUUCCCAAGGAAGGUUUUACAUACUUUUUCACGUAUCCCUUUACUUUGGGUGCAUUUUCUUUGAGCGGAGAGCUUGAUUCCGUAAUUUGUGGAGUUUUGUCUUUGUUACCAGGUAUGUUUGACACAAGUAAGUCCUUCAGUGUAGAUGACAGUCGCCAGCCUUCGACGUUUGUGCCAAGAAAUUAGAGAGGAGCUAACCUUAGCUCAUAUGAUGAAUCUCUAUUCCCCCAAAAUUUUCUGCGGGGAAUGAUAAACCUUUGAAAGCAUGGACACCAUGCAUUGUUGUCUAGCAUGGAUGGUGAUAAUGACUGUGGGUGGAUGGAACGGUUCGUUGUAGUUGCCACCAACGACAUCAUUCCGACAAUGGCUUCAUCCUUUUCGGUCGCUUGGAACCGCACUCAUAAGUUUUUCGUAUAAUAUUCCCUUUUGCUAGAUAUUCUUUUAUGGUCGUAUCAUCUCUUCAUCCUUCACAUGUUUCAUCAACUCGAUGGAUCCCACCUGUGGUAGCAGGUUUGGACCGGUGGGUUCAAAAGAUUUUGGACGUCACAAUGCCCGAAACUCAUUUAUGGAAAUAAUUGGCCCUUAAAUAGGGGUGGAAGGCCAAAAAUCAUGGUAAUUUUAAUUUACCUUACUUCCAUUAUGAAGAACUUGGUCUAACCCUUCUAACUUAUUCAUGAAAUUAGGUCUACCUGCGGGCUCUGUUGUUGUCCCCGAGGAGGACGUUUUGGCUGAUCCCGCUGAUACAGCGAGGCUGCUUUAGGAAGCACUUACUCGAACAGGUAUCUCUGGGCCUGCUUCGGGUGUAAACUCUUCUUUACAAAGUCCCCAUCCGGAGGAUAAUCAACCAAAGAGAAGACGUUCCUCCAUGGCCGGGGAAAUAAAUAAGAGGGCAAAGACUGAUGCCCCCGAGUCAUCUCCGGUGGCGAUGACGACUGGUCUUUCUUCCGGACCGAUUAUAGACACCGUGAUGAUUAAUGAUGAUGAUGAAGCUAUUGAUGAGGGAGCUUCUUUACAUAGAAGGCGAUGAUCCUCAUCAUCUCAAUAGGAUGUUUGACCUGUUAAGAUAGUUACACAAACUGAAGACGAUGUCUCAGCACUUUAGGGAGAAUCUGAUUUGAUAGAAUAUGCCAACUCCCAUUUUCGGACCCCAAUUACUGUAGCCGGUGUUGCGGGGCAGAGUACCGGGUCCUUACCAUCUUUAGUUGGUGAGUAUCCAACAACUGGUACUGCAUUUGAUGCAGCUGACUCUCAUUUUUCAACUCCAUCAACUUCAUCUCCACCUGUACCAACACCAGCAACUGCUACAUCACUUCUAUCUUCAUCCACUUUUCCACCGCUAGUUGCUACAUCAUCUCUAUCGGCCGCACCUGACCAUGAAGAAGGCGUUCCUCUUCCAUAGUCCCUAGUUCAUGGGAAUUUGGGCCCAAUUUAUGCUGCCUCUUCUGAAAAUCCUCAAAGGAGUAGGAACGUUACUCUUUCGGUCUCUACCGAAUGCAACUUGCUAUCCCGGCUAGUGGAUCUUGCUAACUAUCUGAAGCCUUUGGCUUCAGAAAAGACUGGGAAAAGAUUCAGGCACUCUCGGGAGAGUGCUUGUUGAACAAUUCCAUGCACAACGCCGCAGCGGUACGUUCUUUUCUCCCUUUAUUACUUCUUAUACUUUUUUAUGGAUGUAUUCUAAGUUUUACUUUUUCUUGUCUUGUAGGCCAACUUUCUUGCUUCUGAGGGCCUUCAAAGGUUGAUACGUGAAAAGAAAGAACUUACUUCUGAACGGAAUCAACUUUUGGUACGCCUCUCAGAACUGGAAACCAAAGCUACUGGGGCCAUUAUUUUGGAGGCUCGUUUGCAGCAAAGCGAGUAAGAAGUGGUAACCCUUAGCCAAGAAGUUGGGCCGCUGAGGGUUAGAUUUGAUGAAGCCAAGGCCAAAUGGGCUGAAGUCCAGGGUGUCGUUCUUGCUGCAACCGAGCGCGAGGCUGCUGCUGCCGAAAAAGUAGCAAACUUAGAAGCAGCCUUGAACUCCAAAAUCUAAGAGCUUGUUGUUGUGGGGGAGAAACAUGCCCAACUAGAAGAGAAGUACAGGAAAACUAUUGAGCAUAACAGGCUCUUUAGUUCAACUGUUCGCGACCUUGACGCCAGCCUCAAGUCUUCUAGAUCCGCUUGGGAAAGCCUUUCUGUCGAGGUUUCCCAACUCAAAUAAGACUUUAAGCGUCGAGCGGCUUCCCUCGUUGUUGAAAAAACUUAUUCCAUGUACAACUUGAAGAGAAAAACCUUGGAAGAGGCCAAAGCUGGUAUCAUUGAUGUUGAUGCCGAAAUUGCUAAGGCCCGAAAUUGUUGAUGCUCCAGGUUCUUCCGAUUCCGGUUCCGAGUUUUUGGAAACUGAAGAGGGAUCGGAGGGCGAUGAUGCCGAAGACCAAACUGGGGAAAAUGUUGAGCCAUCGGUGAAAACACCUAUUUUUCCCAGGGAUGCGGAUUUUUCUCUUCCUCCUGGUUCCAGAGGCGCUGCAGUUUAGCUUUUUCUUUCUUUUCCCAUUUUGUACUUUUAUCGUUUUGGUCCGUUCUUGUAAAUAAAGACAUAUUUGUGCUCAAGUAUCGUUUAAGUCUUACUCUCAUUUGAAUAUCCAUGCAAGUCUUUAUUUUUUGCACUUGCUCAAGCAUUCUGCGCAUGUUGUUCUAUUCGUGCUUUACUAUGUGUAGUCUCGGAUGUAUUUUCUUCAAAGCAUUUUGGUUCCGAGUAUUAUCCCUUUUACAUGAGGGUUUCUAUGAAUAUUUGCACAAGUUUCCCUUUUACGUGAGGGUUUCUAUGAAUAUUUGCGCAAGUUUCCCUUUUACGUGAGGGUUUCUGUAAAUAUUUGCGCAAGUUUGCUUUUUGCAUCCUUUUCAUAUGCGGCUUCGGGUGUAUUUUUCCCCGAUGGCAUUUUAGAUUUUGGGCAUUUAUUCUUCCGGAACCAACCCUUUAACGUGAGGUUUUUUAUAAGAGAGGCCCUCUUAUGUUUACGGUGCUCUUGAAGAGGACAUCUCCUGUUCAUUACGGCAAUAACAUUUGAAGUACUUGUUUAACUUUUAAACGACAAAGUUAGCUCAUCAUCCGGACAAGAAAUAAGAUAAAAGCAAAAGGAUUUUAUUUUAUUCCUUCUAUUUCAAAAAAUACAUAAGCAUCUUGUUAUGCAGAAAAGAAAUUGCCAUUACUUAUGGCUAUCUUGUACAACUUGUUUCUACGGGGCUGGCUGCGCAGUCCGUGGUCCUGAUGAUGCAUUUUGUUUUCGAAUUUUUGUUUCUCGGUUGACGUGGCAAUCACUAUUGCCGUAUUUUCAUAUCAUUCCCCCUAGUGUUUUAAUGCGGAGAGUGCAAAUUGGAACACUGGAAGUCUUAUAUCUUUGAAGGUUCCACCAAUGAAUUGCUAGGUAAUCCUUCACUCGGUAACAUACCUUACUUCCCCUUAGGAAUCCAUGCUAUCGAGCGAAAGAAUACCUAACAGUCCUCUAGUAAUUUGUGCUCGUGAACGGUCGGGUAACCCUUUUUCGGUAGAAAUCUUAACUUCCCGGUGGGAAUUUGCUAUCGAACCAAAGAUUAUCUAAUCGUCCCCAAGUGGAAGCUUGUUUGUUUUCCUUGUUAUCAAAGGUCUUAUUGAUGUUGUUUUCGUAGUAUGCUUUCUAUCGUUGUCUCAUUAAAAACCUUUCCAGAAAAACCCAAUUGGGUCAAAAACUGAACGAAGGGAAAAAGAGUGCAGCACAUACUUUCCGCUUGAAUAAUGUUCAUUAGCAAUAAUAUCGUUUGAGGUGUGCCACAUUACAGUUGCUGGGAAACUUGUCUCCAUUCUAAUUCUCCAACGCGUAUGAACCUUUCCCAGUGAUAGCUCAAAUCAAGUAGCGACCUUCCCACAUUGGACCUAGCUUCCCCGCGUUGAGCUCCCCGGGUAUUUUGGGUUACUUUUCUCAGAACCAAAUCUCCUACUUUGAAAUAACGGAAGUUGACUCUUCGAUUAUAAUAUCGCUCCAUUCUCUGGUUUUGAGCUACCAUUCUUACAUGCGCCAAGUCCCUGCGUUCCUCGAGCAGUUCCAAGUUGAUUAGCAUUGCUUCGUCAUUCGAUUCUCCAUUUGUCUGAGAAUAUCUCAAAGUGGGUUCUCCCACUUCUACCGGGAUUAGGGAUUCAGCAUAGUAAACAAGGGGAAAAGGAGUCUCUCCUGUGCUCGAUUUGGCCGUUGUUCGGUAGGCCCAUAGAACUCCGGGCAAUUCUUUGGGCCAUUUGCCUUUUGCUGCUUCCAACCUUUUCUUGAGGUUUUGAAUAAUCACUUUGUUCUUUGACUCUACUUGACCAUUUGCGCUCGGACGAUAAGGAGAAAACGUGAUCCUUUUUAUUUUCAAGUCUUCGAGGAACUUUGAAAUUUUUGCACCGAUAAAUUGUGGCCCAUUGUUGCAUACUAUCUCUUUUGGUAUGCCGAACCUACAAAUUAUAUUUUCUCACAGGAAAUCGACCACUUCGCAUUUUUUGAUCUUCUGAUAAGAACCUGCUUCCACCUAUUUAGAAAAAUAAUCAGUCAAAAUUAAAAGAAACCUUACCUUUUCGGGAGCCGGUGGCAGCGGUCCGAUGAUGCCCAUCACCAAUUUCAUGAACGAUCAUGGGGACAUAACCGAAUGUAAGGGUUCUGCCGGUUGAUGUAUUAGUGAUGCGUAGCGUUGACACUUAUCACAUUUUCGUACGAAAUCUUUUGCGUCUUGUUCCAUGCGAGGCCAAUAAUAUCCUACCCGUACCAAUUUCAACACCAAAGACCUUGUGCCUGAGUGAUUGCCGCAUAUCCCUUCGUGGAUUUCUCUCAUGACAUAGUCAGCUUCUGACUCUCCUAAACACUGGGCCAGCGGGCAUUGGAAAGAUUUUCUAUACAAUUGUCCUUUACUAAAGUUAUAACGUGCAGCUUUGGCGCGUAACGUCUGUGAUGCUUUGGGAUCGUCAGGCAACUUUCUAUGCUCGAGGUAGUUGAUUAUUUCAUUUCUCCAGUCCCACACCAGACUAGCCGAAUCCACCUCAUAGUACCCAUCUGUAUCCAGGACUGAGCUCAUCAACUGUACCACCAUUUCGGACUCCGAUCCUUUUAUUUUUGUCGAUGAUCCUAAGUUUGCUAAUGUAUCUGCUUCUGCAUUAUUCUCCCUCGGGAUGUGAGUAAUUGACCACUCCCGAAAUCGUGCCAAAAGAGCCUGGACCUUUACCACGUAUUGUUGCAUACGUUCUUCUUUGGUAUCAAAGAUCUCGUAGACAUGAUUUACCACCAGCUGUGAGUCAUAUUUGAUUUUGAUAACCUCGGAAUCAAGUCCCCGGGACAAUUCGAGCCCUGCAAUUAGAGCUUCAUACUCUGCUUCAUUAUUAGUUAAAGGGAUUGUUCUAAUAGCCUGCCUUAAGGUUUCCCCUCGAAGGCAUGAUUAAGACUAUUUCGAGCCCGGACCCUUUUACAUUCGAAGCUCCAUCCGUAAAUAAGGUCCAAACCCCCGAUGUCGAUUCGGACACCAUCACUGCCUCCUUGGUUGCCAUAGGUAGUAGUCCCGGACUAAAAUCGGCCACAAAGUCAGCCAAGACUUGUGACUUAAUUGCAGUCCUUGGUUUAUAUUCUAUGUCAAAUUCACUCAUUUUGACGACCCAUUUGGCUAAUCUACCCGAGAGCUCGGGUUUGUGGAGGAUAUUUCACAAAGGAAAUAUAGUCACCACAGCUAUCAGGUGGCAUUGGAAGUAGGGCCUUAGCUUCCGAGCGGCGACUACGAGAGCUAAGGCCAGUUUUUCCAAAUAUGGGUAGCGAGUUUCUUCUCCCGUUAAAAUUUUGCAAAUGUAAUAAAUGAGAAAUUGCGUACCUUCGUCCCUCCGGACUAAAACCGCACUUACCGCAACUUCUGAAACCACGAGGUAGACUAGCAAUGUUUCACCUUCUUUUGGUUUAGAGAGCAAUGGAGGACUUGAUAAGUAUUUCUUCAGGUCCCUCAAAGCCUGCUGGCACUCUGGUGUCCAUUCAAAAUUCUUCUUCUUUUUGAGCAAUAUGAAGAAACGAUGAUAUUUUUUCGACGAUCGGGAAAUGAACCUGCUCAAAACUGCUAACCUUCCUGUGAGUCUUUUGACUUUCUUUACAUUUUAUAAUUGAUCUAGGAUAUCUUAUAUGUCCUUGAUUUUAUCUAGGUUUACCUCAAUUCCCCUUUGUGAGACCAGAAACCCCAGGAACUUACCAGAACGGACCCCGAAAGCGCACUUCUCGGGGUUGAGUUUCAUGUUAUUCUUCCUUAAGAUGUCAAAUAUUUCUUGUAAAUGCAUAAGGUGGUCACCUGCAUUCAAAGACUUAAUGAGCAUAUCGUCUAUAUAAACUUCCAUGGUCUUUCCUAUUUGCUUUUCAAACUUCUUAUUUACGUGUCGUUGAUAAGUGGCUCCGGCGUUUUUCAACCCGAAUGGAAUUACAUUGUAACAAUAUGUACCGAAAUUUGUUAUAAACGAAGUUUUUUCCUGAUCUUCCGGGUUCAUCUUAAUUUGGUUGUACCGGAAUAAGCAUCAAGGAAACUCAUCAACUCGUGCCCGGCCGUGGCAUCAAUUAUUUGAUCAAUAUUUGGCAGUGGGAACGAGUCUUUCGGGCAUGCCUUGUUAUGAUCUUUAUAGUCUACGUACAUGCGAAAUUUAUUAUUCUUCUUAGAAACUACUACUACAUUGGCUAGCCAGUCCGGAUAUCUUACCUCUCGGACCGAACCGAUUUUAAGUAAGUGGGUUACCUCUUCUUUGAUGAAUUUAUUCCUAUCCUCGGCAAUAGGGCACUUCUUCUGCCUUACCGGAGAUAUGUUGGGAUCCAAACUCAGCUUGUGCAUGGCAAUUUCCAUCAGGAUACCUGUCAUAUCCUCGUGCGACCAUGCAAAACAAUCAGCAUUAAAUAUAAGGAAUUCAAUAAAACCAUACCUGAGCUCCUGGUGCAGUCCUGUCCCCAGAUGGAAUUUUCUUUCUAAGAAUUCCUCGAACAAUGCAACUUGCUCCGGUUCCUCUGCCGUGGACUUCGUCACGUCCGUCUCUUCUGGAACUUGGAAAUAUCUUGGCACCUGAUAUUGUUCUAACAACUCUGUUUUCGAACUAACUCCUACUAGGUCAGGAAGAGGUGCCGGUUCCUGUAAUUUCUAUGCCAUGCAUUCCUUCCCUCUGCUAUAGGAGACUGAGAUUGUAUUCAUCUCCCUUGCUGCCGGUUGAUCACCUCUUAUCUUCUCUAUUCCUUCGGGCGUUGGAAACUUUAACAAUUGGUGAUAUGUUGAUGGUACAACUUUCAUUUCGUGUAACCACGGUCUUCCAAGGAUAAUGUUGCAUCCCAUGUCACCAUCUACUACUUCGAAGAGAGUUGUUUUCAUUACUCCUUCAGCGUUUGUGAGCAGCAAGAUCUCUUCUCGGGUCAUCACGCUCGCAAGGUUGAAUCCAGCGAGAAGCUUUGUUGCCGGAAUAAUACUUCCGGUAAGUUUAGCUUGUUCCAAUACUCUCCAUUGUAUGAUAUUAGCCGAACUUCCUGGAUCCACUAGAACACAUUUAAUCUUAAAAUCUAACACUUUUAAAGAUAUUACCAGUGUUGUCACGCCCCCAACCUCGGGAAGCGUGAUCGGCGCUCAACCGAGUAAAUCCGACCGAGCAAGCCUGUUAGAUACUUUCUACCCAAUUCACUUAUAAUCAAGACAAGACGUGAUUUCAUUAAUUAACAGUAAGAAGCUCAUUCAUACAAUCCUAAAUCGUUUCAUUAGACAUUGCGCCUUUAAGUCUCAAAAUACACAUUUCUUAUAGUUCAAGUGGAAUAAGUGAUCAAACACAACAUAACUUGUUUAGCAUUCCCAACACCCAUUUAUAACCCACAUAUUGUCUACGGAGCCUCUAAAGAUACAAAAGAGAGUAAAGAUGAUGCCGGCAACAAGGCCCCGGCUAUACCUUAAAAAGUGACCAUAAUAUAAACAAAAGGUACAAUACAUGACCCCAAAAUGAAAUGGGGCCCACCGAGUCCGCUAAGAAGAGGAUGCAACACUAUCUGUGAUCAACAUUGUCUACUAUGUAACUACAUGAAUCCAUUUAAAGAUGCAGCACCCCCGGCAAAAGGGACGUUAGUACCGUCGAAUAGCACUAGUAUGUAAAGCUAAACACCAACUCAAUAGAAUGAAUAAUAAUACAAGAGGAACAGCCAAGAAUCAAAUAAUAUUAAAAUAACAAGUUAAGAAUCAUAUACGUUUUCAAGUCAAUUUUCAUAUUAUUAGGUUUGGUGACCUUUAGUACCGAUAUUCCACCAUUCACAGUACCUCUGUAUUCUUACACGGAGUCCGAUCUUGGCACGAUCGGCUAGGCCAUCUCAUUUGAGACAUUACCACAAUUUUAUUAUAAUUUCCAGCACAGUGCCAUCAUGUGUGCGGCAUGGCGUCCGAUCACGGCCCGAUCGGCUAGGCCAUCUAUUGAGACAUUACCACAAUUUCAUUCACAAUACCACUGUGUUCUUACACGGAGUCCGAUCUCGGCCCGAUCGGCUAGGCCAUCUCAUUUGAUACAUAACCCAUAUUCAAUCAGUCAUCUCAAUUCAUAUUUCUUUCCCAUACUUUCAAUACAAUGGCACGAGUGGCCCCAAUUAUAAAAUUAUUCUUGGCGCUAGGCCGUAUUUCAUAAUUCCAGUUCCUUUUUCCACGUUCAAAUAUCAUUAUCAUUAUCAUUAUCAACAUCAAUAAGGCUUCCAAUUCAAGACAUUAAUUCACAUAUGAGCAAUUUAGGAAAUUUUAGGCACAUAGAGGCCCUUCAUACAAUUUCGCAUAACAACCUUUAUUUCGGUCUUGACAUGAAGUUUUAACAUUCCUAACACACAUUCUACAUUUCUAACAUAUUCUCAAAUGGAAAGAUGACAUGAUGAAGCAUUUAAAAGAAAUAUUAUACAAACAUCCUUCAACACAACCACAUUAGGAAAAGCCAAUUCAAUAAUGUUCAAGGACUUACUCCAAUUACAUGAACACCGUGGGAUUCGAUUCUAAGAAGAAGGGGGUUUAGCCAACAUACCUCAAUUGAGCUUCAACUCUAAAAUGAUCCAUAAUUCUUAGCAACUUCAAUCUAUUUUAGAAAUAUAGCAAGUUGAACUAAAAUUAAGAAGAUUAUCAUUGUUUUAGCUCAUUUGAGCAUUUUAUCAAACACUAGGUGUGUAUUAAAGUUCUAAGAUUCUUUUGUGGAAGAUUUAAUCAUUUCCCAACCCACUCUCUACCAUUUUUAGCUCACAAUCUUUCCACAUACUUCAAGGAUACAUGCAUGCAAUACAACAACCCCCACACCCAAUAAUUGCCUCUCUGAUUACCCCAUUUUUACAAAAUUUCAAAAUUGAGAGUUAGGACAUAGAUUCUUACCUUUAGGGUGAAGACUCCCUUUGUUAAUCCUCAAUGAUUGAUCAAGAAUUUAUGGAUAAUGGUUAAAAAUUGCACCCCCACUCUAAGAACUCUCCCUCUCACUCUAAAAUAUCAUAAAUGUGCUCAAAAUGGUCUAUAGGGUGUGUUUUAACGGAAUUGGAUCGGGUUUAAAAACCCUAAAAAUAAAGCUCCAGAACAGGUUCUGCGGUCGCAUAUGCAACCGCAUAAUGGUUAUGCGGUCCACGAAAGGACCACAAAAUUGGGUACCAAAACUGGGAAAAAAACUGACCUGGUCUGCGGUUACUAUGCGGCCCGCAGACCUGUUCUGCGGUAGCAUAGUGCACCGCAAAACGGUUCUACGGUUGCAUAGUGCAUCGCAGAACCUUCCUCUGAUAAAUCCCAAGGUGUUAUAUGCGACAAGAAUGUGGCUCGCGAAACGGUUAUGCGGUCGAAUAAUGGCCGCAAAAUUGACAUGAAAAAUGCCCAGAAACCUGCCCCACUUUGCGACUAGUCUGCGGUCCGCAGAGUGGUUCUGCGGCCGCAGAAAUGCGUACUUCUACCCAACAUUUUCUUCAAAUCCCGAACGCACUGUUCAAUCCAAAAAGUCCGAACCGCGAUGAAUUUCUACUACUAUUAACCUCUACGCCUACUUUGGCAUCACGAAAAUCCGGGUUUUUAGGAAAACUUUUACGGGGCCUUACAAGUGCGUUGUUGUGUGGUAACAGCAAUCCAUCUGCGUCCUCCUCCGUGAAAGUGAUAUCGUCUUACCAUAGUCUUUUACUGUGAGUUAUUGAUACUUUCGUCUUCUUUGCUGCCGAAAAGGUGACCUCGUUAAUCUCAUUCCCACUGAAGAUCAUAUUGAUCGUUUAGCGUGGGGGUUCUUCUCCUAGUUUUGGAAGUUUCGCGUUGUCUCUAUUACGAUCAUAAUUGUUCUUAGCUCGGUCACUCAAGAAUUCUCUGAGGUGACCAUUCUUCAAUAAUGUUGCCACCUUCUCUCGGAGGUGUCGGCAGUCCCCUGUCAGGUGACCGUUCAUCCUGUGGUAUUCGCACCAUAAGUUGGGACCCCUCUGGCUGGAAUCGGACUUCAUAGGUCUCGGGAAUCGUGCCUCUUUAAUAUUUCUCAUGGCUAACACCAGUUCCACUACACUGAUGUUGAAGUUAUAUUCUGAUAACCUGGAUAAGAAAAAUUCCGAGACCCCGACGUUUCUUUAUUUUGAAAUGAUCUAUUGUUUCGACCACGAUCGGUCCCUCUGUCAAUGGUGAAUUUGUUUGUUGCCCGAAAGUUUCUGCCAUGGCCUUCGGUCUGCUCGUAGGGCAAUAACCGGCCCUUUGAAGUCUGUUUAUCCGCGUCGUAGUCAUCCUUUGAUUUUUCUCUGCUUUUCUCCCGUCCUUUGGCCGAUGAUGUAGAACCGACCUGGUUAUCUUCGAUCCUUAUCUUUGACUCGUACUGGUUGUGUACAUCUGCCCAAGUUGUUGCUUGAAACUCAAGCAGGCUCUCCUUCAGCUUCUGGGAAGCGUCUGAACUUCUUGGAUUCAAUACUUUGGUGAAUGCUUCGGCUGCCCAUUCAUUCGAGAUGCCUGGGAGAAAUAUUCUUUCUUUCUGGAAUCAAGUAACAAACUCUCAUAAUAAUUCAGAUUCUCCCUGUGCGAUCCUGAAUAUGUCGGCCUUACGGGCUUGAACUUUUCUGGCCCCGGCAUGAGGCUUAAUGAAAAAAUCCGCGAGCAUCUCGAAGAAAUCUAUGAAAUGCUCGGGUAAUAAUGAAUACCACGUUAGAUCUCCCCUCGUGAUAGUUUCUCCAAAUUUCUUUAGCAAUACAGAUUCAAUUUCGUGAGGAGCUAAAUCAUUGCCUUUCACUGCUGUUGUGUAGGUAGUAAUAUGCUUCUGCGGGUCUGAAGUUCCGUCAUACUUUGGAAUUUUAGGCAUUUUUAACCGCGUAGGGAUUAGUUCGGGUGCCGCACUUGGCUUGUACGGUAACUAAACAUAGUUCUUCGAGUUUGGGCCUUUUAAUACCGGUGGCGCGCCUGGGAUUUAAUCCAUGCGGGCAUUUACUUCCCCCAUGAACCGCAAAAGUUCAUCCUUGAAUGGAUCGUUCUCGUUGUUGAGACCAGAUCUGCUUCCCCCAGCCCCAUCGGAGCCAACUUUACCCCUGGGAGUGUUGUUGUCGACUCUCUGCGUUGUUUGGUUUGUGGGAAUAAUGGGAGGAAUUGGAUCUCGUCUGUUUGUAUUAUUCGAAGCACCCGAUAGCACCUGCUUCAGUUCCAUCAUAACAUGAUCCUGCCGCGUGAGAUGACCUAGAAUGAUUGUUUGUUUCUCUUGCAGGACCCUCACCGCAUCCGCUACAUGCUCCUCAUCAGCAUCAUCGAGAGUUGUCUCCUCAUUGUGGGUGUCACUGAUUGAAUCCUCGAAAUGAGGCUAAUCCCGUCGAAUUUCAGGGUUGCAUGUGUUGUUAACAGUGUUAUCUGUCAUUUUUCGUGAUUUUUUUUCUAAGACAAAGUAAUCAAAACACGUUAGUAAAAAAAGCAAGGAUCAAUUUAAUUGCACGGCUGUCUAGGCCCCACGGUGGGCACCAAACUGUUUAUCUAUAAAAUGGUACAGUUGAAUUUAUACGUGGUUUCUAGACAAGUGAAUUAAUUUGAUCCUGAAAUAAUACAAUAACUGAAGAAAAGUAUGAUACUUAGCCUUGAAAUAUGGAUGAAAACAGCAAAGAUGACAAUUCCGGGACAGUGUAUCUGGGAACAGUGAUGAUGAGAUUAAAAAGCAAGAAGUAAAAUUGUAUAAAGCUUUACAUAGAAUAGAGUGUAAGUUUAGCCAGAAAAUUCGUGUAUUUUACAAUGAUAAUUGAGCUCACUAUUUAUAGCUAUCUCUCGGGAAGGAAAUCCUAGGAUCAUGUUCUCCUUAAAUGUCAAUUAUGAAGGUUAUUGAUGAAUACGUAACGGUGAACAUUAAUGUCAAAUUCUCUGUAACGGACCGUCGCUCUUAAUGCUGCAGAAUAUUCCCUAUUAAAUGUUACCGGGCGUAGAGCAUUUAACACGCCUUUAU